GACGAACGCUGGCGGCGUGCCUAAUACAUGCAAGUUGAGCGCUGAAGGUUGGUACUUGUACCGACUGGAUGAGCAGCGAACGGGUGAGUAACGCGUGGGGAAUCUGCCUUUGAGCGGGGGACAACAUUUGGAAACGAAUGCUAAUACCGCAUAAAAACUUUAAACACAAGUUUUAAGUUUGAAAGAUGCAAUUGCAUCACUCAAAGAUGAUCCCGCGUUGUAUUAGCUAGUUGGUGAGGUAAAGGCUCACCAAGGCGAUGAUACAUAGCCGACCUGAGAGGCGGAGCGGCCACAUUGGGACUGAGACACGGCCCAAACUCCUGCGAGAGGCAGCAGUAGGGAAGCUUCGGCAAUGGACGAAAGUCUGAACGAGCAACGCCGCGUGAGGGAAGAAGGUUGUCGGGUCGUAAAACUCUGUUGGUAGAGAAGAACGUUGGUGAGAGUGGAAAGCUCAUCAAGUGACGGUAACUACACAGAAAGGGACGGCUAACUACGUG
Molecule: ribosomal RNA, 497 nt
Filed under: uncultured bacterium
Lineage: Bacteria
Description: partial 16S ribosomal RNA
Rfam family: Bacterial small subunit ribosomal RNA
Source: RNAcentral